This 703-nucleotide ribosomal RNA is filed under the name uncultured bacterium. RNAcentral describes it as "bacterial SSU rRNA". It matches the Rfam family "Bacterial small subunit ribosomal RNA", at positions 57 to 752 of the family's 1533-position model. The record is from RNAcentral.
GCAGUCGAGGGGCGCAUUCCAGUUUGCUUGCAACUGGAGAUGGCGACCGGCGCACGGGUGAGUAACACGUAUCCAACCUGCCGAUAACUCGGGGAUAGCCUUUCGAAAGAAAGAUUAAUACCCGAUGGCAUAAUAGAACCGCAUGGUUUGAUUAUUAAAGAAUUUCGGUUAUCGAUGGGGAUGCGUUCCAUUAGGCAGUUGGUGGGGUAACGGCCCACCAAACCUUCGAUGGAUAGGGGUUCUGAGAGGAAGGUCCCCCACAUUGGAACUGAGACACGGUCCAAACUCCUACGGGAGGCAGCAGUGAGGAAUAUUGGUCAAUGGACGAGAGUCUGAACCAGCCAAGUAGCGUGAAGGAUGACUGCCCUAUGGGUUGUAAACUUCUUUUAUAUGGGAAUAAAGUGGUCCACGUGUGGAUUUUUGUAUGUACCAUAUGAAUAAGGAUCGGCUAACUCCGUGCCAGCAGCCGCGGUAAUACGGAGGAUCCGAGCGUUAUCCGGAUUUAUUGGGUUUAAAGGGAGCGUAGGUGGACAGUUAAGUCAGUUGUGAAAGUUUGCGGCUCAACCGUAAAAUUGCAGUUGAUACUGGCUGUCUUGAGUACAGUAGAGGUGGGCGGAAUUCGUGGUGUAGCGGUGAAAUGCUUAGAUAUCACGAAGAACUCCGAUUGCGAAGGCAGCUCACUGGACUGCACUGACACUGAUGC